ACGUUCUUAGCUCAGUGGAAGAGCAGGUGCCUUCUAAGCAUCUGGUCACAGGUUCGAAUCCUGUAGAACGUA
RNAcentral lists this transfer RNA (72 nucleotides) under Ophirina amphinema. RNAcentral describes it as "tRNA-Arg". It matches the Rfam family "tRNA". Rfam says of the family: Transfer RNA (tRNA) molecules are approximately 80 nucleotides in length. Their secondary structure includes four short double-helical elements and three loops (D, anti-codon, and T loops). Further hydrogen bonds mediate the characteristic L-shaped molecular structure. tRNAs have two regions of fundamental functional importance: the anti-codon, which is responsible for specific mRNA codon recognition, and the 3' end, to which the tRNAs corresponding amino acid is attached (by aminoacyl-tRNA synthetases). tRNAs cope with the degeneracy of the genetic code in two manners: having more than one tRNA (with a specific anti-codon) for a particular amino acid; and 'wobble' base-pairing, i.e. permitting non-standard base-pairing at the 3rd anti-codon position. The record is from RNAcentral. Lineage: Eukaryota; Jakobea; Jakobida; Ophirinidae.